RNAcentral lists this unclassified non-coding RNA (646 nucleotides) under Hevea brasiliensis (rubber tree). The record is from RNAcentral. Lineage: Eukaryota; Viridiplantae; Streptophyta; Magnoliopsida; Malpighiales; Euphorbiaceae.
GGGGCUCGUCCUCUUGCAGGAGAGCAUGACUGCCGUCUUGGUCUCCCAUUAGGAGUAGGCUCAAUAGAGGAAGAUCUAGCACUGGGUGCUCCAGGCCUACCUCUAGCGGCUGAAAGUGGUCUUUCGGGUAGUGAAGUUCUCAAAUUUGGUGGGGCAUCAAGUGAAAAACCAGGCAUCUCUGAAGGUUUCCAUGGCCUAGAUUUCACUGUUGGAGAUGUGCCGCGUGAUGGCACUGGAUUUCUUGCCAUUGUGGGUGUUGUCUUGGUAAUUGAAGGAGUUGACUUAACACGAGGAGCAGAUAUAGUUGAUGUUGUAGGCAUUGUCUUGGUAACUGAAGGAGUCGGCUUAACAGAAGCAGAUAUAGUUGAUGUACUUGAUGGAGUGGAUGGCCGUCGAGUUGGGGUUGAUGCCCUCGAUGUGGAUUUGGAUGGAGGAAUAGAGGGCCUUGUAGUUGGUGUUGAAGAUCUUGCAGUAGAUCUUGAUGGUGUUGAAGAUCUAGUAGGAAUUGUAGGCUUUGUUGCAGAAGCAGUGGGCUUAGCAGCAGAGACAGUUGGCUUAGCAGCAGAGACAAUUGGCUUAGUUGCAGAAGCUGCUGACUUAGAUGAAGGCAAAGUGGUCCGAGAAGUAGGUGUUGAAGAUCUAGAAG